UUUGCUCUUCUUUUCUUCACAGUCUUAGGGCUCACAAAGGGCUUCGUACAAGGACUAACGUUACGUUCCUCAGUACAGAAUGAAGUCACGCUGGAUUACACAACACUCUUAAAUCCAGUUCUGGCACAGCUUGUCUUCCAGAGAUCAGAGACUGAAGAGACUUGGAGUUCCAACUUCAUUUUGGCCAAACCCAGUAGAGGACUGAGGUGGCUCAAGGGUAGUGCUUGGAGGCUCUGCUCACCAUUUGCUCCAAGGGUGCAACCAGCUGCCUCUCUGCCCCAGGUAGGAUGAGGGCCAGGUGACUGAAUCAGCAUUAGCUCAAUCUUUUCUUUGGCCAUCUGUGAAAAUAACAGUAUAUAACAUGUAAAUAGAGCUUGUUUUCACAGUGCUGGAGCAGCUGCAUGUCCCCAUUGCAGCAUGGCUGAUGCUUGGGCCUACUGAGCGCUUGAGGGGAUUUGUGCCUGGGGAGAGCAUCCCCAUGUCACUAUGGAGGCAGCCAUUGUAGAGGUGUGGAGAGACCACACCUCCAAGCUCCAAGGACUUUCCACAGUCAGUUUUUGUCCCUCUCAGUCCUAAUCCUGAUGCCAUUGGCACGCUUCUGACCUGAGGAUAGAGGCAAGACUAUCUCCCCAGUGGGGGGCAGCUGCUCCAGAAAUGAAGGUAAGGGAACAAAAUGGGAUUUUUUGCCUCCUACUGCUGGCUCUGCUGUGAAGCUACAGCAUAACACACAAAGUCACUCAGGCUCUGAGCAUUUCAGCCAUCCGCACUGUGGAAACCAAAUAUGUCUCCAGGAAGAGGCUGGCAUUUGCUGAUAACCAGCCCUGGGCCACCUUUCUGAUGAAACCUUUUUUUUUUUUCUUCUAAUAAUUCCACAUUUAGGCUGCAGGGACUUACAGACAAGUUGACUAGCUGAGGAAGCAGUUCAUUCUCACUUUGUUUCUCCUCAGGAACUAUCAAAACAUGUUACAGAGAGCUUUAAAUACCUGAUCCCAAACUCACCUUUUCGGCUUUCCUAAGGCCUGAGGCUCCAGCCUUUAUGGCUGCAGGCUGCCAUGUGUAGUUUUGUGCCUCAGGACAAGUUAUUACAGAGCACUCCUAUGCCUUUGCAGACACAAAAGCUUCCCGCGCACAGGGAUGUGGCUCCUUCCUCAUGGAGGAGGUGACAAAUGCCUCCAGGUAAACCUGAAGUAUAAUUCAUGUGUCCAUGUAAGAUUAAAAUGUUCUGUACGAUGCCUUUGUUGGCAGUAGGAGAUCGAGGAAUCCCUAUGUGCGUGCACUGUGUAUUUAGCAAUAUAUAACCAACAGGGGGCAUUAGGUUUAUGCUGAUUAAAUGUGUAUUUCUACUUGGAGCAGAGAGAAAUACCUACCUUGCUUGAUUGAAAACAGCAAGACUGGAAUCUUUUAUCCUGCAAAUAAGUAGGAUUGGGGCCUGUUUUUUUUCCAGAAUAUUUAUAAUUAGAAAAUGUAUAAGUUUCUUGUAUUUCCUUUGUCUAGCUUGUGUUUAUCUUGAGAUGAAAAUGAAUGAGAUUGAUAUAAUUAAAGAUCCAGAUGAUUUCUGUGUGGCACGUAGCUCAAAAACCAUUUGAAAAAUCUAAGCGUUUCUGGUGCAAAUUGAUUUGUAUUGAUGGUUUCCAGUUUUCUAAGCAGGAAUUAAAGUUGGGUAGCAAUUCCAUUUUUCUGACAGGAAUCAGAUGGAGCAGUAGAAUUAGCUGCUGCUCCUCAUUAUGGUAGAAAACUUUGCUCAAGUUAUUGGAUUACUGAAUGCAAAGGACUGUAGUGAGGAGCCACGGUGUGGAUGUGAAUUGUGGUCUCUGGAAAUGAAAGCAGUAUUUAUUACAGAGGUAAUUACGAUGGCUACAAUCACUCCUGUACGUGGGACGCUUCACAUACAUUCUGAGGGAGAUGUGGUUUUUGAUGUUUAUGGCACCAAUGAAAGAAGCAGCUUUUCCCUCUUCACAUUUUAAAAACUGCAGCCUUCUCUGUGCUGCUGCCACACUCACGUGGUUACAUACACCUUUAAGUGAAGGGCUUUCUACUGUCUAUGGUUAAAUCAAGCUGGAUUUGAAAAUGUUAAUGCUGAGAACUGCUUUCAUAAAGAUAUGUCCGAAUGAACUGCUGGCUAAAAAUCUGCCGAUGCUGUAAGUUUUGAGAAGUUGAUUUCAUUACCUGCCUUCCUUUAAAAUGGGUUUUAAAUAACCUAAUGGCUUUAAUUUCCUCCAUAGUGAAGUAGCAGUUAUGAUUUUUUGGAAGUGAAGUAAACAAAUGAGCAACCUACAGCAGCAGCAGAGCUUUUGCUUGCUGGUGUAUCUAGGAUGCUGUGAGCAUUUCUG
Molecule: long non-coding RNA, 2330 nt
Organism: Gallus gallus (chicken)
Lineage: Eukaryota; Metazoa; Chordata; Aves; Galliformes; Phasianidae
Exons: 3
Source: RefSeq, a predicted model, not a curated record